Long non-coding RNA from Macrobrachium nipponense, 1144 nucleotides. RefSeq lists it as uncharacterized. NCBI's taxonomy places the organism in Eukaryota, Metazoa, Arthropoda, Malacostraca, Decapoda, Palaemonidae. The record is from RefSeq and is a predicted model, not a curated record. The transcript is spliced from 3 exons.
AGACAUUUCAUAUUCUCGCAUGGCGACAGGAAAGACUAGUAAUUAUUAAGAACUUGGUAUUUCAAUUGCCCUACUCUUGGUACCAUCAAACUGUCUUUCCUGCCGUCCAGUCUUUAAAGAUGGGUAGUUUGCUAACUCCUCCUCCUUUCAUAUGCUUUACUCGAGCGAAAACGGCGACGAGGAGCCAGGCAGCCCGGCCGUCAGGCAGACUCAGAGAGAGUCUCAGAGAGAGAGACAAAGAGAAGAGAGCAGAGACCUCACUCACCUGGGAAGGUUCCUACAAUUUUGAUUCGUCCGACAUGCCUGUCUUAGGCUAAAGGCUUUUAUUGGGAUCCCUGGUCUACGUCAUCCUCUUGAGAAAAUUCUGCCAAAAUCCAUCUGCAACGCCUUUGUGCAUGGUUCGACAAUGGUGAUUUAGCUCUCGGACUAGUAACUCUAGCUUAUUCAUAAAUUCACGUUGUUAACACAUGGGAUGGUGUUUGGUUUCGGUGUAUCGGCCCUUUUAUUUCCUUCCUGAUACUAAUGUAAACCUCAGUUGCUCAAUUGUAAGGUAAUUUUAAGUGGGUUAUUAUUCCUAUGGGUAUAUUUUUCUACAUAAAUGACCAUGACUUUUAGAUACUAAUCUUCCCGAAUAUUUCUUUACAGACAGCGAGCGAAGCAGAACGAAGGGAACGCCCUACGAUCUACGUGAAUUGCCUUGUUAUCCUACCAAUUGUUUGUAACUACGGUACUACGUCAUUUUAAAGGCCUAUUUAUGUAAUAAAUAUCAUAUUCAAUUACAUUUUUCCUUCCAACCUUUAUUUCAAACCACAGAUUUUUAAGGUGUUCUGCUUAUGGCGCCCAACGUGGGGCAACACGAAGAAAGGUGCUUAAUGAUGGUGCAGAUGAUCCAGUAGAGAAUUGACCACGACUGGGGCUCCCAAUAGUCUCUCCUAUUUCUAUUUGUAGGACAUUGAUAUUUUCCUUUCCAGGAUAUUAACAUUUUAUUGAAAUAAAUGUAAUUUUUCUUUCCAGAAAAUUAACAUUUUAUUGGUUUGCAUUUGUUAUACUUUUGUUAUAAUGGCUAACUUACAGAUACUGAUCGGACAACGAAAAGUCAUUCGGAGAAAAGUCACCGAACAAUUCAAUAGGUCUGACACCUAUU